GACGAACGCUGGCGGCGUGCUUAGCACAUGCAAGUCGAACGGAAAGGCCCCUUUGGGGGUACUCGAGUGGCGAACGGGUGAGUAACACGUGAGUAACCUGCCCUUGACUUCGGGAUAACUUCAGGAAACUGGGGCUAAUACCGGAUAGGAAUCCUUGCUGCAUGGUGGGGGUUGGAAAGCUUCGGCGGUUUUGGAUGGACUCGCGGCUUAUCAGCUUGUUGGUGGGGUAGUGGCUUACCAAGGCUUUGACGGGUAGCCGGCCUGAGAGGGCGACCGGCCACAUUGGGACUGAGAUACGGCCCAGACUCCUACGGGAGGCAGCAGUGGGGAAUAUUGCACAAUGGGCGGAAGCCUGAUGCAGCAACGCCGCGUGCGGGAUGACGGCCUUCGGGUUGUAAACCGCUUUCAGCAGGUGCGAAGCUUGUGGUGACGGUACCUGCAGAAGAAGCACCGGCUAACUACGUG
This 465-nucleotide ribosomal RNA is filed under the name uncultured bacterium. RNAcentral describes it as "partial 16S ribosomal RNA". It matches the Rfam family "Bacterial small subunit ribosomal RNA", at positions 28 to 507 of the family's 1533-position model. The record is from RNAcentral.